This 314-nucleotide ribosomal RNA is filed under the name uncultured eukaryote. RNAcentral's name for it is "partial 18S ribosomal RNA". It matches the Rfam family "Eukaryotic small subunit ribosomal RNA", at positions 1470 to 1796 of the family's 1831-position model. The record is from RNAcentral.
CCCUUAGACGUUCUGGGCCGCACGCGCGCUACACUGACCAGUGCAACAAGCAUCCGUCCUUGGCCGACAGGCUCGGGCAAUCUUUGAACGCUGGUCGUGAUGGGGAUAGACUUUUGCAAUUUUUGGUCUUCAACGAGGAAUUCCUAGUAAACGCAAGUCAUCAACUUGCAUUGAUUACGUCCCUGCCCUUUGUACACACCGCCCGUCGCACCUACCGAUUGAAUGGUCCGGUGAAGCCUCCGGAUUGGCGCGCACCUCGGUGCCGCCGAGAAGUUGGCUAAACCUUACCAUUUAGAGGAAGGUGAAGUCGUACA